Molecule: non-coding RNA, 106 nt
Organism: Nicotiana sylvestris (wood tobacco)
Lineage: Eukaryota; Viridiplantae; Streptophyta; Magnoliopsida; Solanales; Solanaceae
Source: Rfam
GGGGCAGAUUAUUGUAUUCGACUAUAUUCGACUGCAUUCACGGCGUGAAACAGGGGAUUACACUGUUUUUAAACAGAAAGUGUAUCAAUUAAUAUAAUAGACUCCU